GGGGGGCUGCGGCCGCGGCAGCUGCUCGCUUAUUUUUAGAGCAUUUCCAUUCCUCCGGUUAAUUUUAGAUCGAUUCAUUAUUUAGCCCCAGUUCGCCUUCAGGGAAACCCAAGCUGGGGGGGAGGCCGGAGCCCCGCGGGACUGUGCGGGGCUGCCCCCAGCCGGGGCGCUGCGGGACUCGGUGGGUGCGGGCAGCCCUGUCCCCAGGGAGGGGGAGACCCAGCCUCUGGGAUGGGGUUUGGAUGGUGGGCAUGGACACGGAGAGAGGACUGCUGGUAUUCAAGGACUUCUCCUGUGCCUGGUGGAGCCAGCAGGACCCUUGGCAUUGGCAGAGCUGGAACACAACUAGGUCCAAAUCUUCCCUUCGCAUUGCAGCCACUCCUUUGGAAGAAAAACGUGAGACUAGACAAGCCUCUGAAGGAGGAGCAAAGUUUUGUUUUCCACCCGGGACACCUCAGCAACCAGUCUGUGUUUCCUUUGAAAACGGAGAGGUUUAGAAAAACUCCCGAGGAGAAAUGA
This 519-nucleotide long non-coding RNA is filed under the name Anas platyrhynchos platyrhynchos (common mallard). RNAcentral describes it as "lncRNA (ENSAPLG00000026013.1)". The record is from RNAcentral. Lineage: Eukaryota; Metazoa; Chordata; Aves; Anseriformes; Anatidae.